GGCCGGCAUACAUAGUAAUGAAACUGGCUUUGUAUGUGGCGGCACUGUCAUUCACAGACGCUUUGUAUUAACCGCCGCUCACUGCUUAAUAGACAGACAAGAAGAAAACCUAAUUGUGAAGCUGGGAGCCUACGACAUACGGCGUCCAACAUUGGUGUAUAGUGUCAGCAAUAAGAUUAUUCACAAUGAAUUCGAACUAAUCCAAAAAAUUCAUAAUAUUGGCCUUCUCCAACUAUCACGUGAUAUUGAGUUUAGUAGGCAUGUCUAUCCGAUCUGCAUUAUUCGGAAUCUGGAAGCUAAGAGAAAAGUCGAAAGUGCUAACACAUUCGAUACCUAUGGAUGGGGAAGAACAAAUAAGAGGCAACUAAGCAACAUCCUUCAGAAAGUCACCGUCGAUCGAUACGAUCGCAGUAAUUGCGAAAGUGUAUUCUUUUCACUUCAUUCAAGUCACAUCUGCGCUGGAGCUUCAGUA
This is a non-coding RNA of Drosophila kikkawai, 472 nucleotides long. The record is from RefSeq and is a predicted model, not a curated record. NCBI's taxonomy places the organism in Eukaryota, Metazoa, Arthropoda, Insecta, Diptera, Drosophilidae.